This 2369-nucleotide ribosomal RNA is filed under the name Klebsiella oxytoca. Its description in RNAcentral is "partial 23S ribosomal RNA". It matches the Rfam family "Bacterial large subunit ribosomal RNA", at positions 591 to 2925 of the family's 2925-position model. The record is from RNAcentral. Lineage: Bacteria; Pseudomonadati; Pseudomonadota; Gammaproteobacteria; Enterobacterales; Enterobacteriaceae.
GGGUGACUGCGUACCUUUUGUAUAAUGGGUCAGCGACUUAUAUUCUGUAGCAAGGUUAACCGUAUAGGGGAGCCGCAGGGAAACCGAGUCUUAACUGGGCGUUAAGUUGCAGGGUAUAGACCCGAAACCCGGUGAUCUAGCCAUGGGCAGGUUGAAGGUUGGGUAACACUAACUGGAGGACCGAACCGACUAAUGUUGAAAAAUUAGCGGAUGACUUGUGGCUGGGGGUGAAAGGCCAAUCAAACCGGGAGAUAGCUGGUUCUCCCCGAAAGCUAUUUAGGUAGCGCCUCGUGAAUUCAUCUUCGGGGGUAGAGCACUGUUUCGGCUAGGGGGUCAUCCCGACUUACCAACCCGAUGCAAACUACGAAUACCGAAGAAUGUUAUCACGGGAGACACACGGCGGGUGCUAACGUCCGUCGUGAAGAGGGAAACAACCCAGACCGCCAGCUAAGGUCCCAAAGUCAUGGUUAAGUGGGAAACGAUGUGGGAAGGCCCAGACAGCCAGGAUGUUGGCUUAGAAGCAGCCAUCAUUUAAAGAAAGCGUAAUAGCUCACUGGUCGAGUCGGCCUGCGCGGAAGAUGUAACGGGGCUAAACCAUGCACCGAAGCUGCGGCAGCGACACUAUGUGUUGUUGGGUAGGGGAGCGUUCUGUAAGCCGUUGAAGGUGGCCUGUGAGGGUUGCUGGAGGUAUCAGAAGUGCGAAUGCUGACAUAAGUAACGAUAAUGCGGGUGAAAAACCCGCACGCCGGAAGACCAAGGGUUCCUGUCCAACGUUAAUCGGGGCAGGGUGAGUCGACCCCUAAGGCGAGGCCGAAAGGCGUAGUCGAUGGGAAACAGGUUAAUAUUCCUGUACUUGGUGUUACUGCGAAGGGGGGACGGAGAAGGCUAUGUUGGCCGGGCGACGGUUGUCCCGGUUUAAGCAUGUAGGCGGAUGUUCCAGGUAAAUCCGGAACGUCACUAACGCUGAGGUGUGAUGACGAGGCACUACGGUGCUGAAGUGACAAAUGCCCUGCUUCCAGGAAAAGCCUCUAAGCAUCAGGUAACAUCAAAUCGUACCCCAAACCGACACAGGUGGUCAGGUAGAGAAUACCAAGGCGCUUGAGAGAACUCGGGUGAAGGAACUAGGCAAAAUGGUGCCGUAACUUCGGGAGAAGGCACGCUGAUGGUAGGUGAAGUGACUUGCUCAUGGAGCUGAAAUCAGUCGAAGAUACCAGCUGGCUGCAACUGUUUAUUAAAAACACAGCACUGUGCAAACACGAAAGUGGACGUAUACGGUGUGACGCCUGCCCGGUGCCGGAAGGUUAAUUGAUGGGGUUAUCCUCACGGAGAAGCUCUUGAUCGAAGCCCCGGUAAACGGCGGCCGUAACUAUAACGGUCCUAAGGUAGCGAAAUUCCUUGUCGGGUAAGUUCCGACCUGCACGAAUGGCGUAAUGAUGGCCAGGCUGUCUCCACCCGAGACUCAGUGAAAUUGAACUCGCUGUGAAGAUGCAGUGUACCCGCGGCAAGACGGAAAGACCCCGUGAACCUUUACUAUAGCUUGACACUGAACACUGGUCCUUGAUGUGUAGGAUAGGUGGGAGGCUUUGAAGUGUGGACGCCAGUCUGCAUGGAGCCAUCCUUGAAAUACCACCCUUUAAUGGCUGGUGUUCUAACGUGGGCCCGUAAUCCGGGUUGCGGACAGUGUCUGGUGGGUAGUUUGACUGGGGCGGUCUCCUCCUAAAGAGUAACGGAGGAGCACGAAGGUCAGCUAAUCCUGGUCGGACAUCAGGAGGUUAGUGCAAUGGCAUAAGCUGGCUUGACUGCGAGCGUGACGGCGCGAGCAGGUGCGAAAGCAGGUCAUAGUGAUCCGGUGGUUCUGAAUGGAAGGGCCAUCGCUCAACGGAUAAAAGGUACUCCGGGGAUAACAGGCUGAUACCGCCCAAGAGUUCAUAUCGACGGCGGUGUUUGGCACCUCGAUGUCGGCUCAUCACAUCCUGGGGCUGAAGUAGGUCCCAAGGGUAUGGCUGUUCGCCAUUUAAAGUGGUACGCGAGCUGGGUUUAGAACGUCGUGAGACAGUUCGGUCCCUAUCUGCCGUGGGCGCUGGAGAAUUGAGGGGGGCUGCUCCUAGUACGAGAGGACCGGAGUGGACGCAUCACUGGUGUUCGGGUUGUCAUGCCAAUGGCAUUGCCCGGUAGCUAAAUGCGGAAGAGAUAAGUGCUGAAAGCAUCUAAGCACGAAACUUGCCCCGAGAUGAGUUCUCCCUGACUCCUUGAGAGUCCUGAAGGAACGUUGAAGACGACGACGUUGAUAGGCCGGGUGUGUAAGCGCAGCGAUGCGUUGAGCUAACCGGUACUAAUGAACCGUGAGGCUUAACCUUACAACGCCGAAG